UAGUCCACGCCGUAAACGAUGGACACUAGUUGUUGGGUUUCGGCUCAGUGACUAAGCGAAAGUGAUAAGUGUCCCACCUGGGGAGUACGGUCGCAAGAUUGAAACUCAAAGGAAUUGACGGGGGCCCGCACAAGCGGUGGAGCAUGUGGUUUAAUUCGAUGAUACGCGAGGAACCUUACCAGGGCUUAAAUGUAGAUUGACAGGACUAGAGAUAGUUUUUCUCGGACAAUUUACAAGGUGCUGCAUGGUUGUCGUCAGCUCGUGCCGUGAGGUGUCAGGUUAAGUCCUAUAACGAGCGCAACCCCUAUUUUUAGUUGCUAACAGGUUAAGCUGAGGACUCUAGAGAGACUGCCGGUGCAAACCGCGAGGAAGGUGGGGAUGACGUCAAAUCAUCACGGGCCCUUAGCCUGGGGCUACACACGUGCUACAAUGGUAAUGACAGAGGGGCAGGCUACCUGGGUGACAGGGAUGCGAAUCUUU
Molecule: ribosomal RNA, 480 nt
Filed under: uncultured bacterium
Lineage: Bacteria
Description: bacterial SSU rRNA
Rfam family: Bacterial small subunit ribosomal RNA
Source: RNAcentral